This 842-nucleotide long non-coding RNA is filed under the name Mytilus galloprovincialis (Mediterranean mussel). Lineage: Eukaryota; Metazoa; Mollusca; Bivalvia; Mytilida; Mytilidae. The record is from RNAcentral.
UGUGUUGUCUAUGUUUAUUCAAAGCAUCAAAUCCUGAACUAAAUGAAAUUAUCACAUGUAUGAUCUGUAUAAAAAUACAUUACUUGUAGAUUAUUUCACGUAAGUGUUACUAUCACAGACAAUUCAAAUGCAAUCUGAUUAAAAUAAACAUUCUGUAUCCUUGCUUUUGCCUGUCUGAAAAUAGUGGAAGAUGUAUAUCAUUACAACAAAACCAGAGGAUCUUGAAAGGUCUUGAACAGAUAUAAAAUAGUGGAAGAUGUGUAUCAUUACAACAAAACCAGAGGAUCUUGAAAGGUCUUGAACAGAUAUAAAAUAGUGGAAGAUGUGUAUCAUUACAACAAAACCAGAGGAUCUUGAAAGGUCUUGAACAGAUAUAAAAUGCUAAGAUCCUUGUGAGUAAAGCAUAGACACGGAAUAUGCUGUAAUAUCAGAUUGAUAUGAAUGUCUUGUCUGAUGCAAAAUCAUCAUCAAGUGUAUUGUAAUUAGUUAUCAAAAGUACCAGGAUAACAAUUUAAAAAUGCCAGUGUCUACAUAAGACUAGUCAGUGACACACACUGGAUCACUCAGAUCAAAAUAGUUAUUGAGUUAAACAAAUACGAAGUUGACGAGCAUUGAGGACAUAAAAUUUCAAAAUGUUGUACUAAAUAAGGUAAUCUAUGCAUAGAAUAAGAAAAUCUUUAGUAUUUUGAAAAAAUCAUACUUUUUGUAACCUAUAAUCUAUGCGUAGAAUAAGAAAAUCUUUAGUAUUUUGAAAAAAUCAUACUUUUUGUAACACCUAUUCUGUAAUGCUUUAUUGAAAGUGCAGAAUAUUAUUAAUAAAUUUUCACCCUAUAAAUAAAAAC